CGCACAAGGGGGAGCCUGCGAGAAAGGGCAGACCCACGUCAGACAGUUUCAUUAGCGUGACAACACACGCACCAUUAACGGCACCGCAGUGGAUGAAAUUACCUCCGUGGGCCGACCCAGCACAUUUCCAUCAAGAGUUAUCAAGUCACCACACCAAAAUCACCCUUUUCUACACACAGUCCUACAAAAAAGGUUUCCAAAUCACCAUGCACUUUCCCUCAUACAACAUAACCAUAUUUCCAUACGCUUACCCAAUUGGCGCACAAUUUUUCACUGGUCGCACAAAAUAGUCCCCAAAUCACCCUAAAGUGACCACAUUAUUUUCUAAAAAUCAAAAUCACCAUAUUUCCACAAGCAUUUCCUAAAUCACCAGUAUUCUACACAAAACCCCAUAUUUCCAAAGAAAGGUCCCAUAUAUCACAAGGUCCUAAAUUCCACAAAAAUCACAUUUCCACCCCUUUCCAGGAAAAAGUUCCCAAAGCAUCACAGAACUCUCCCAAUACCACAUUUCCCUCAUUCUUUCCACAAAAGAAACUUCUCUAUCACCACAUAAAAUGACCCACCUCUCACCAGAAAAAGUCACCACACUGCCAGAAAAAAGGUUUGCCCAUCAGCACACUAAAUGACCAGUUUUCCACACAGAAACCACCACGUGCCCAAACACAGGUACACACACAAAGUUUUCCAACCCCCCCACAACAUUUCCCCUCACACAGCACAAGCAUAUUUCCAUAAAGCUACCCAAUCACCAGAAAAUAUUCCACGCGUCCCACAACACACCACUUGCACAUUUCCACAAGCAAGCUCCCAAAUCCUCACAGAAUUCUCCCAAUACCACCAUAUUUCCUGAAACCUUUCCACAAACACAUCUCCAAAUUACCACAAAAUGACCAACCUCCCACCAAAAAAAAAUCAACACACUUCCAGGAAAAAAAAAAUGGGGGGUUCUCAAAUGACCCCACAGAACAAAGUUUUCCACACACAAGCCACCAUGUGCCCUCAAAAAAGGUUUCCAAAUCCCCACACCAUUUCCCUCACACAACGUAACCAUAUUUCAGUAUACUUACCCAACUGCCACACAAUUUUUCAUAGGCGCCACAACACACCAGUCACA
Molecule: long non-coding RNA, 1114 nt
Organism: Gavialis gangeticus (Gharial)
Lineage: Eukaryota; Metazoa; Chordata; Crocodylia; Gavialidae
Exons: 2
Source: RefSeq, a predicted model, not a curated record